Molecule: ribosomal RNA, 160 nt
Filed under: uncultured bacterium
Lineage: Bacteria
Description: partial 16S ribosomal RNA
Source: RNAcentral
CACAGAGUUAGCCGGUGCUUCUUUCUUGGGUUAGAUCAAGACCCUGGUGUGUUAAACCAAGGCUUUUUAUCCCCACCGAAAGGGCUUUACAACCCGCAGGCCUUCUUCACCCACGCGGCGUCGCUGGAUCAGGGUUGCCCCCAUUGUCCAAUAUUCCCCA